This 869-nucleotide ribosomal RNA is filed under the name Ralstonia sp. M_Sw_oHS_08/11_4_2(1). RNAcentral's name for it is "bacterial SSU rRNA". It matches the Rfam family "Bacterial small subunit ribosomal RNA", at positions 25 to 887 of the family's 1533-position model. The record is from RNAcentral. Lineage: Bacteria; Pseudomonadati; Pseudomonadota; Betaproteobacteria; Burkholderiales; Burkholderiaceae.
CAGAUGAACGCUGGCGGCAUGCCUUACACAUGCAAGUCGACGGCAGCAUGAUCUAGCUUGCUAGAUUGAUGGCGAGUGGCGAACGGGUGAGUAAUACAUCGGAACGUGCCCUGUAGUGGGGGAUAACUAGUCGAAAGAUUAGCUAAUACCGCAUACGACCUGAGGGUGAAAGUGGGGGACCGCAAGGCCUCAUGCUAUAGGAGCGGCCGAUGUCUGAUUAGCUAGUUGGUGGGGUAAAGGCCCACCAAGGCGACGAUCAGUAGCUGGUCUGAGAGGACGAUCAGCCACACUGGGACUGAGACACGGCCCAGACUCCUACGGGAGGCAGCAGUGGGGAAUUUUGGACAAUGGGGGCAACCCUGAUCCAGCAAUGCCGCGUGUGUGAAGAAGGCCUUCGGGUUGUAAAGCACUUUUGUCCGGAAAGAAAUCGCACCUGAUAAUACCGGGUGUGGAUGACGGUACCGGAAGAAUAAGGACCGGCUAACUACGUGCCAGCAGCCGCGGUAAUACGUAGGGUCCAAGCGUUAAUCGGAAUUACUGGGCGUAAAGCGUGCGCAGGCGGUUGUGCAAGACCGAUGUGAAAUCCCCGGGCUUAACCUGGGAAUUGCAUUGGUGACUGCACGGCUAGAGUGUGUCAGAGGGGGGUAGAAUUCCACGUGUAGCAGUGAAAUGCGUAGAGAUGUGGAGGAAUACCGAUGGCGAAGGCAGCCCCCUGGGAUAACACUGACGCUCAUGCACGAAAGCGUGGGGAGCAAACAGGAUUAGAUACCCUGGUAGUCCACGCCCUAAACGAUGUCAACUAGUUGUUGGGGAUUCAUUUCCUUAGUAACGUAGCUAACGCGUGAAGUGACCGCCCUGAGACUACCUGU